RNAcentral lists this unclassified non-coding RNA (267 nucleotides) under Hevea brasiliensis (rubber tree). Lineage: Eukaryota; Viridiplantae; Streptophyta; Magnoliopsida; Malpighiales; Euphorbiaceae. The record is from RNAcentral.
AGAUAUUGCACAAAACCACAAGUAAUCAAUCACAGUGGAACACUCACAAUAAGGAGCUUACCUUGCAUCCAUAAAAUAGCCUGUAAUGAUAAUUACAAAUCAUUAUAGCAAAAUAACAAUAACAAAACCGUAUCACUCAUUCAUUCCCACAAACAGAGAGGGAAAAAGGAGGAGUGGGAUUAAGCACCAAGGAGGCUGAGCGAACUGGAAAUUAUUAAGGGGCACUGGCAAAUAAAAGGGUCUAGAUAUAAGAAAACAACAUUUGUG